CUACGGGUGGCUGCAGUUAGGAAUAUUCGUCAAUGGGGGAAACCCUGAACGAGCAAUGCCGCGUGAAGGAUGACGGUCCUAUGGAUUGUAAACUUCUGUUGUUAGGGAAGAACGACUAAUAGAGGAAAUGCUAUUAGAGUGACGGUACCUUUCAAGAAAGCUCCGGCUAACUACGUGCCAGCAGCCGCGGUAAUACGUAGGGAGCGAGCGUUAUCCGGAUUUAUUGGGUGUAAAGGGUGCGUAGGCGGUUUUACAGGUCUAUGGUUUAAGUCCGAAGCUUAACUUCGGUUCGCCAUAGAACCGUUUAACUUGAGUAUGGUAGAGGCAAGUGGAAUUUCUAGUGUAGCGGUUAAAUGCGUAGAUAUUAGAAGGAACACCAGUGGCGAAGGCGACUUGCUGGGCCAUUACUGACGCUGAGGCACGAAAGCGUGGGGAGCAAAUAGGAUUAGAUACCCCCGUAGUC
Molecule: ribosomal RNA, 463 nt
Filed under: uncultured bacterium
Lineage: Bacteria
Description: partial 16S ribosomal RNA
Rfam family: Bacterial small subunit ribosomal RNA
Source: RNAcentral